GACGAACGCUGGCGGCGUGCUUAACACAUGCAAGUCGAACGGAAAGGCCCUUCGGGGUACUCGCGUGGCGAACGGGUGAGUAACACGUUGGUGAUCUGCCCUCCUCUUUGGGAUACUCCUGUGACACUGGGUCUACUACCCAAUUAGACCACACGCUUCUUAGCGUGUGGUGGCAAGCUUUUGCGGUGUGGGAUGGGCCCGCGGCCUAUCAGCUCGUUGGUGGAGUACUGGCAUACCAAGGCGACGACGGGUAGCCGACCUGAGAGGGUGACCGGCGACACUGGGACUGAGAGACGGACCAGACUCCUACGUGAGGCAGCAGUGGGGAAUAUUGCACAAUGGGGGCAAGCCUGAGGCAGCGACGUCGCGUGCGGGAUGACGGCCUUCGGGUUGUAAACAUCUUUCAAUAGGGACGAAGCGAAAGUGACGGUACCUAUAGAAGAAGCACCGGCCAACUACGUG
RNAcentral lists this ribosomal RNA (462 nucleotides) under uncultured bacterium. Its description in RNAcentral is "partial 16S ribosomal RNA". It matches the Rfam family "Bacterial small subunit ribosomal RNA", at positions 28 to 507 of the family's 1533-position model. The record is from RNAcentral.